RNAcentral lists this long non-coding RNA (2230 nucleotides) under Homo sapiens (human). RNAcentral describes it as "non-protein coding lnc-HBEGF-2:3". Lineage: Eukaryota; Metazoa; Chordata; Mammalia; Primates; Hominidae. The record is from RNAcentral.
CGGGAAAGGGCCGGGAAAUUUCCACUUCUGAAUAAAAUGACUGCUGAAGUGAUGACCCGCAAGAAUUGGUCAAAUUUGGAGUAGACUUCACCCUGCGCUUGGUGAAACUUCUACGUCAAGGAUGCAAGAGGCGCCGAAGUAACGCAGCUCCCACCUGUCGCUCUCCGCUGGGCGCCGAGACUAUGGCCGGAGAAUAGCUGCACCGGGAUUGGAGAAAGGAAGCCAUCAGUCUUAGGAAGGCUCCACCUUCCUGCCAUUGCCUGGUUGGAGGAGCGUAGCGUCAGUCACUAGAGCAGUCACCACCUCUGGGACAGGUGAAGAUGUGUAACCUAUUUGCCGGGGGCUAUUUGGGAGGGAAUAGAGGACGGGGAGCGAUGAGGGGACAGUCGAGGGGCAAGGCCGAUCUCGCUUCGCGCCUCCCGCCUUUCUGAGUUGAGCCUAGCGCGCGGGUCUGAGGGACAUCCGGGGAGCUGCUUGGGAUGGCCGCCUUGGGGAGACUCGACCCGCCCGCCAGGACCCGGCCGCGCGCCGCAGUUCGGGCGCCUUCGGGCAGGAUCGCCCAGCGGGGCCGCGUUCUCCUGCUUGCGGACGGCUGCGGGCCUGAGGGCUGGACAGCGCCAUGCCUCAGUACCGGGAACUGUCCCACGUAGGAAGGUGGGAAUGCCGCGAACGGCGUGCGGAAUCCGACCUCAAGGUGGAACGGGGUGGUGAAGAGUGCAUGCUCCGAGGCAGUUUCGAGUUCUGGUGCUGCCACUUACUUGCUGCCUGACUUCGGCGCGUUUGCUGUUUCAUUUUUGUGACUUUCAACUCGCUCCUCUGUGAAAUGGGAGUAAUAUUAGUACCUUCCUCAUUGGGUUGUUGUUAUGAAUAAAUUAGAUGAUAAUAUAGCGCUUAGCAAAGUCCCAAACUUACAGGAAAGACUCAUUUUUGCUAGUUAUUGUCUCCUCUUCCUUCAGGAACUCUCUGCUCGCCCCUGGGUCCUGCCAGCCCAACUAAUUCUAGUUCUAAUCAGAUCUGUGUGGUGCAAAACAAGGCUAGCUGUGGUGGUCUUCCCUCCUCUAAGGAGAUCUCUUCCUCCCUAUAUGCAUCUCUCUAUCUCUGUCUUUAUCUUGUCAGUAAAGAGGGGGGUUAAAAAUAUUCAGAUUCUAUAGCGGGCGCCGUGGCUCACGCCUGUAAUCCCAACACUAUGGGAUGUUGAGGCGGGCGGAUCAUUUGAACCCAGUAGUUCGAGCCCAGCCUAGGCAACAUGGUGAAAUCCCGUCUUUACCAAAAAUACAAAAAUUGGGCUCGGCGCGGUGACUCACGCCUGUUAAUCCCAGCACUUUGGGAGGCCUAGGUGGGCGGAUCAUUUGAGGUUAGGAGUUCUAGACCAGCCUGGCCAACAUGGCGAAACCCCGUCUAUACUAAAAAUACAAAAAUUAGCCAGAUGUGAUGGUGCGUGCCUGUAAUCCCAGCUACUCGGGAGGCUGAGGCAGGAGAAUCACUUGAACCCAGGAGGCGAAGUUUGCAGUGAGCCAAGAUCGUGCCACUGCACUCCAGGUUAGGCGACAGAGCAACACAUCGUCUCAAAAAAAAAAAAAAAAUUAGCCGAGCAUGGUGGUGCAUGCCUGUAAUUCCAGCUACUCAGGAGGCUGAGGUGGGAGGGAUCCCCUGAGCCUGGGAGAUGGAGGUUGCAGUGAGCCGAGAUCGUGCCACUGAACUCCAGCCUGAGCAACAGAGCGGUGCCCUGUCUAAAAAAAUUAAAAAAAUAAAAAAAAAACGGUUUCUAUCUAAUCCUUUAAUCAGACAUGACCAAAAAAGGAGUCUGGUGGUUUGUAUGGAAAAUAUCCUUUGACCCAGAGAAUGUCCAUAUGAUAACAGAAUUUGGCUGAAAAAAAAAAAAAUGGCCGGGCGCAGUGGCUCACACCUGUAAUCCCAGCACCUUGGGAGGCAGAGGUGAGCGGAUCACGAGGUCAGGAGAUGGAGACCAUCCUGGCCAACAUGGUGAAACCCCGUCUCUACUAAAAAUACAAAAAUUAGCCAAGUGUGGCGGCGCGUGCCUGUAAUCCCAGCUACUCGGGUGGCUGAGGCAAGAGAAUCGCUUGAACCCAGGAGGCGGAGGUUGCAGUGAGCCGAGAUCGCACCACUGCACUGCAGCCUGGCGACAGAGCAAGACUCAGUCUCAAAAAAAAAAAAAAAAAGUCAUUUUCUCCUCUCUUACAACUUUAACAAAGGCCUUUAUAUAUCUCAA